RNAcentral lists this ribosomal RNA (1371 nucleotides) under uncultured bacterium. RNAcentral describes it as "bacterial SSU rRNA". It matches the Rfam family "Bacterial small subunit ribosomal RNA", at positions 28 to 1381 of the family's 1533-position model. The record is from RNAcentral.
GAUGAACGCUGGCGGCGUGCCUAAUACAUGCAAGUCGAGCGAACGGACGAGAAGCUUGCUUCUCUGAUGUUAGCGGCGGACGGGUGAGUAACACGUGGAUAACCUACCUAUAAGACUGGGAUAACUUCGGGAAACCGGAGCUAAUACCGGAUAAUAUUUUGAACCGCAUGGUUCAAAAGUGAAAGACGGUCUUGCUGUCACUUAUAGAUGGAUCCGCGCUGCAUUAGCUAGUUGGUAAGGUAACGGCUUACCAAGGCAACGAUGCAUAGCCGACCUGAGAGGGUGAUCGGCCACACUGGAACUGAGACACGGUCCAGACUCCUACGGGAGGCAGCAGUAGGGAAUCUUCCGCAAUGGGCGAAAGCCUGACGGAGCAACGCCGCGUGAGUGAUGAAGGUCUUCGGAUCGUAAAACUCUGUUAUUAGGGAAGAACAUAUGUGUAAGUAACUGUGCACAUCUUGACGGUACCUAAUCAGAAAGCCACGGCUAACUACGUGCCAGCAGCCGCGGUAAUACCUAAGUGGCAAGCGUUAUCCGGAAAUAUUGGGCGUAAAGCGCGCGUAGGCGGUUUUUUAGUCUGAUGUGAAAGCCCACGGCUCAACCGGGGAGGGUCAUUGGAAACUGGAAAACUUGAGUGCAGAAGAGGAAAGUGGAAUUCCAUGUGUAGCGGUGAAAUGCGCAGAGAUAUGGAGGAACACCAGUGGCGAAGGCGACUUUCUGGUCUGUAACUGACGCUGAUGUGCGAAAGCGUGGGGAUCAAACAGGAUUAGAUACCCUGGUAGUCCACGCCGUAAACGAUGAGUGCUAAGUGUUAGGGGGUUUCCGCCCCUUAGUGCUGCAGCUAACGCAUUAAGCACUCCGCCUGGGGAGUACGACCGCAAGGUUGAAACUCAAAGGAAUUGACGGGGACCCGCACAAGCGGUGGAGCAUGUGGUUUAAUUCGAAGCAACGCGAAGAACCUUACCAAAUCUUGACAUCCUUUGACAACUCUAGAGAUAGAGCUUUCCCCUUCGGGGGACAAAGUGACAGGUGGUGCAUGGUUGUCGUCAGCUCGUGUCGUGAGAUGUUGGGUUAAGUCCCGCAACGAGCGCAACCCUUAAGCUUAGUUGCCAUCAUUAAGUUGGGCACUCUAAGUUGACUGCCGGUGACAAACCGGAGGAAGGUGGGGAUGACGUCAAAUCAUCAUGCCCCUUAUGAUUUGGGCUACACACGUGCUACAAUGGACAAUACAAAGGGCAGCGAAACCGUGAGGUCAAGCAAAUCCCAUAAAGUUGUUCUCAGUUCGGAUUGUAGUCUGCAACUCGACUACAUGAAGCUGGAAUCGCUAGUAAUCGUAGAUCAGCAUGCUACGGUGAAUACGUUCCCGGGUCU